ACAGGCAACCCGCGGCACAUUUACAAAAGUGACGGGGACACUGGGGACAGCAGGAAAGGUCAGGAUCCUGAAAGGAAGCCGGCUGGGCUGAGGACUGCAGAGGAACCAGGUGGCAGUAGUGUUUUAAAUUUAACCAGCUGGAGAGAAGUACCAUUUUGGGCAUGGGUAGCGCAUGGCUAUAAUCCCCAGGCUGGAGCAGGUCAGCCUGAGCUCCAUGUGCUUCACAGGCUUCCGUGUGCAGACAGCCACCGUUGGGACCAGCAGGUGCAGUAGAUCCGGAGUGGAGUCAGGGUUGGUUUCUAACAUGCUUCCAGUUAUAGGGAAGCCGAGUGCAGAAUGCUUUAGAGACUGUUCCUGCCUUCCUGUGGUUGGCCCUGCUUUUUACUCUAUGAAGAUGUGGAAAUGGACGCAGAUAACUGUGCUAUGUAUUAUUGACUUCCAGUAACACAGGUAAGGAGUUAAUGAAAUACUCUAUUUAUGAUAGGUUUGUGAUGAGUUUGCACAAUCGGCCGGCUAAUCUAGGUGCUUUGUUCCGAGUAUGUUUAAGGCAGGCAAGGCUAAGCUCUGAUGUUUGGUAGGCAAGGCGUUGUAUUAGUUACUUUUCUGUUGCUGUGACAAAAUCGCAUGAUCCAAAGCACUUGUGGAAGAAACUGUGAAUUUUGGCUUAUGGUUCCCGAGGAAAAGAGCCCUUCCCCCCCCCCCCCAUGGCCGGGAAGCACUGGAGGAGUGCCAGCAAGUGGUAGGCAAGCUGAGAGUUCACAUUCCAACCGCAAGCAGGAAGAGCAGAGAGAACCGGAAGCCAGCGAGGCUAUGGACUCCCAAAGCCCACACCCAGUGGCAUACCUCCUUCAGCAAGACUAUACUCCCUAAACCUCCUGAAACAACACCGACAACUGGGGACCCGAGCCUUUGGAGGGCAUUUCUUACUCAAACCACCACAGAUGUUUUAAAUGAAUUUUCAUUUUGUAACUUACCAUGGGCCAUCAGAGCACAGCCCCACUGU
Long non-coding RNA from Meriones unguiculatus (Mongolian gerbil), 1003 nucleotides. RefSeq lists it as uncharacterized. The record is from RefSeq and is a predicted model, not a curated record. NCBI's taxonomy places the organism in Eukaryota, Metazoa, Chordata, Mammalia, Rodentia, Muridae. The transcript has 3 exons.